UACGUAGGGUGCAAGCGUUAAUCGGAAUUACUGGGCGUAAAGCGUGCGCAGGCGGUUAUGUAAGACAGGGGUGAAAUCCCCGGGCUUAACCUGGGAACUGCAUUUGUGACUGCAUAGCUGGAGUACGGUAGAGGGGGAUGGAAUUCCGCGUGUAGCAGUGAAAUGCGUAGAUAUGCGGAGGAACACCGAUGGCGAAGGCAAUCCCCUGGACCUGUACUGACGCUCAUGCACGAAAGCGUGGGGAGCAAACAGG
RNAcentral lists this ribosomal RNA (253 nucleotides) under uncultured bacterium. RNAcentral's name for it is "partial 16S ribosomal RNA". It matches the Rfam family "Bacterial small subunit ribosomal RNA", at positions 524 to 776 of the family's 1533-position model. The record is from RNAcentral.